UCAUCCUUUCACCUAUGUUUUAUGCAUUGUAGUUCUACCAUCCUAUGCCCAAUUGCAUGCUGCCUAGGUACUUGGAAAUUUUGGUGUAAGUUGUAGUAUCAUGUGGUAGGAACACAACAACCCCGACACUUGGCCCCGGGACGACAAUGUUAUAUUUGCUAUGCUUAAGUAGACGGGUUAUCGGUUGAGUGUAUACCACGAGUGAUGUGAGGUUAAUAUAAUAAUCAAGACCGGACUAAGACAAGAUUUUUCAAGACCUCGGACGCAAUGCAACACUGGGUGAAGGACGGUUGACCGGCUCCCUGGAAAACCCAGUGGAUGCCCGGGAUGCUGGAGAGGCCAUGUCAUCCUGCGGAAAGCUUCACCCAGGCUCAAAGAGAUGGACGGAUAUUUUCAAGACCCAAGGCUUACCUGCACAGCCACAAGUCAUUAUGGGCUCUGGCUUGGUUGGACAACGCGGCGACUCUGGACAGGCGGUGCUAGCAGAUGUAGACGAACGGUAGGAAUGGAUGGGCACCGACAGGGAUUCAGAGGGACCCGUUGAAAGACCAUGUUUUGAUCAUCCGGUCUUCAAACACCCUGAAGUGCGAGGACAAACCCGGAGGCGAUCAAAUCUUGUGGGGAACGUGUGCAAAACUCUGCAG
This 644-nucleotide long non-coding RNA is filed under the name Hordeum vulgare. RNAcentral describes it as "long non-coding RNA (HVUL_LNC010657)". Lineage: Eukaryota; Viridiplantae; Streptophyta; Magnoliopsida; Poales; Poaceae. The record is from RNAcentral.